GGUCGAGGGGUAACAGGAGUAGCUUGCUACUUGCCGACGACCGGCGCACGGGUGCGUAACGCGUAUACAAUCUACCUUUUGCUGAGGGAUAGCCCAGAGAAAUUUGGAUUAAGACCUCAUGGUAUGUAGGAAUGGCAUCAUUCUUAUAUUAAAGGUUACGGCAAAAGAUGAGUAUGCGUUCUAUUAGCUAGAUGGUGUGGUAACGGCACACCAUGGCAACGAUAGAUAGGGGCCCUGAGAGGGGGAUCCCCCACACUGGUACUGAGACACGGACCAGACUCCUACGGGAGGCAGCAGUGAGGAAUAUUGGGCAAUGGAGGCAACUCUGACCCAGCCAUGCCGCGUGCAGGAAGACUGCCCUAUGGGUUGUAAACUGCUUUUAUACAGGAAGAAACACUCCCUCGUGAGGGAGCUUGACGGUACUGUAAGAAUAAGGAUCGGCUAACUCCGUGCCAGCAGCCGCGGUAAUACGGAGGAUCCAAGCGUUAUCCGGAAUCAUUGGGUUUAAAGGGUCCGUAGGUGGAUAAUUAAGUCAGAGGUGAAAUCCUGCAGCUCAACUGUAGAAUUGCCUUUGAUACUGGUUAUCUUGAGUUAUUAUGAAGUAGUUAGAAUAUGUAGUGUAGCGGUGAAAUGCAUAGAUAUUACAUAGAAUACCGAUUGCGAAGGCAGAUUACUAAUAAUAUACUGACACUGAGGGACGAAAGCGUGGGGAGCGAACAGGAUUAGAUACCCUGGUAGUCCACGCCGUAAACGAUGGUCACUAGCUGUUCGGAACUUGUUUCUGAGUGGCUAAGCGAAAGUGAUAAGUGACCCACCUGGGGAGUACGUUCGCAAGAAUGAAACUCAAAGGAAUUGAC
RNAcentral lists this ribosomal RNA (857 nucleotides) under uncultured Flavobacterium sp. RNAcentral's name for it is "bacterial SSU rRNA". It matches the Rfam family "Bacterial small subunit ribosomal RNA", at positions 60 to 914 of the family's 1533-position model. Lineage: Bacteria; Pseudomonadati; Bacteroidota; Flavobacteriia; Flavobacteriales; Flavobacteriaceae. The record is from RNAcentral.